Molecule: ribosomal RNA, 460 nt
Filed under: uncultured bacterium
Lineage: Bacteria
Description: partial 16S ribosomal RNA
Rfam family: Bacterial small subunit ribosomal RNA
Source: RNAcentral
CCUACGGGUGACUGCAGUGAGGAAUAUUGGUCAAUGGGCGCGAGCCUGAACCAGCCAAGUCGCGUGAAGGAUGACUGCCCUACGGGUUGUAAACUUCUUUUAUAAAGGAAUAAGGUGAGGCACGUGAGCCUUUUUGUAUGUACUUUAUGAAUAAGGAUCGGCUAACUCCGUGCCAGCAGCCGCGGUAAUACGGAGGAUCCGAGCGUUAACCGGAUUUAUUGGGGUUAAAGGGAGCGUAGAGGGGGAGUUAAGUCAGUUGUUAAAGUUUGCGGCUCAACCGUAAAAUUGCAAUUGAUACUGGCAGCCUUGAGUACAGUUGAGGUAGGCGGAAUGCGUGGUGUAGCGGUGAAAUGCUUAGAUAUCACGAAGAACUCCGAUUGCGAAGGCAGCCUACUAAACUGCCACUGACAUUGAUGCUCGAAAGUGUGGGUAUCAAACAGGAUUAGAUACCCGAGUAGUC